Molecule: long non-coding RNA, 612 nt
Organism: Hippocampus comes (tiger tail seahorse)
Lineage: Eukaryota; Metazoa; Chordata; Actinopteri; Syngnathiformes; Syngnathidae
Exons: 4
Source: RefSeq, a predicted model, not a curated record
CUCGAUGACAUGCCGAUGCUGUUUCAGACCGCAAACAAUGGAGGGGGAAGUUUCUAAUUUAUGUUCCACAAACAAAAAUAUUUCAAAGGUCACGAAAAGAUGUUGCUGAUAGGACUCAACGUUUGUUUCUGGAGAAAGCUGAGUUGUAUGAGCCAACCAUCCAUACAGUGUGUUGAGUCCAUGAAGAAGGAGAUUGAUAUUAGCGACGGACCUUGAAGAGCUCUCCCUCAGAUGAGGAAGAGGAGUGAUCUUUCUUCAAAGGGAGCAGAUAGUGAAACAAGAGCAAGCCCGAUGAGGAGGUGUCGGGUGUUGUUAUACACAAGGACUCCAAAUGGUACCAGCGGUGGAAGGACUUCACUGACAAUAACAUGGUUUUCAACAGGCUCUUUGAGAUGAAGAUGAAAUGUGACGCAAGUGACAAUGUCCUUGUCCGAGGAUCCAGGGCUAUGACUGAGCGAGCUGCCACCGUCCUUGGUAAUAACCUUCUCGUUCUCACAGAAUCAAAAACUGCGCUGGAGCUACCAAAAGAAAAUCUUCGUAGUGUUGUUUGUGUUUUCUACCUACCGUAAUUUCUGGACUAUAAACCGUUACUUUUGUCACACGCUUUCAACC